This 22-nucleotide microRNA is filed under the name Gorilla gorilla (western gorilla). RNAcentral's name for it is "ggo-miR-3126". RNAcentral also lists the same sequence under 2 other names. Lineage: Eukaryota; Metazoa; Chordata; Mammalia; Primates; Hominidae. The record is from miRBase by way of RNAcentral.
UGAGGGACAGAUGCCAGAAGCA